GGGCCGCUAGCUCAAUUGGUCAGAGCAGCAGACUUUUAAUCUGUUGGUUGUGGGUUCGAGUCCCACGCGGCCUACCU
This 77-nucleotide transfer RNA is filed under the name Streptomyces sp. WZ.A104. Its description in RNAcentral is "tRNA-Lys". It matches the Rfam family "tRNA". From Rfam's summary of the family: Transfer RNA (tRNA) molecules are approximately 80 nucleotides in length. The record is from RNAcentral. Lineage: Bacteria; Bacillati; Actinomycetota; Actinomycetes; Kitasatosporales; Streptomycetaceae.